This is a long non-coding RNA of Galleria mellonella (greater wax moth), 813 nucleotides long. RefSeq lists it as uncharacterized. The transcript is spliced from 2 exons. The record is from RefSeq and is a predicted model, not a curated record. NCBI's taxonomy places the organism in Eukaryota, Metazoa, Arthropoda, Insecta, Lepidoptera, Pyralidae.
AUCAGGAGUAUAUUUGCGUAAAAAAUCAUUGACCCAUGAUAUAUCUUUAAAAUGAUUUUGACGAUGUUUUGAAUUUAGUUUUCUCAUAUUUUGCCAAACAGUGGAAAUUGGUGUUAAUCUAUUAAAUUUGGAACAAAAUUCCUGCCACCCCUGUUGUCUUACUUGCUUAAUUACUAACUUUUUAACAGCUUGAACUCUUUUAAAAUUUAUGUAAUUAUCGAGAGUUGGAUUUUGUUUAAACCUAAGGUAAGCCGCUUUACUAUCAUUGACAGCUGUCGCACACCUGUUAUUCCACCAAGGUACUGCAAUAUGUUUGUGCCUCUUUGAAGUAUUUGCACCGCUAUUUGAUAAGUUCCUACGUGGAGCGGAACGUUCCACAGCUGUCAAAAUAAUUUUACAGAACCUAUUGUAAUUGUUUAAGGGUUCAUUGACAUCAUACUCGAAAUCCAAAAGUAAUCGAUUAACAGUUUCAGAAUAAAGAUCCCAAUUAACGAGACGUAGGUUUAUACGAUUUAACAACAGUUUAUUAACUUCAUCUAUAGGAGCAUGUUGUUCACCUGACGGAGUUGAUGAAGAGUUCUUUGUGUUUAUUUUAGUAAAAGUCGGCAGAUGCUGUAACGCUCAGAAUUCUUACAGAAUUUAGCUAAAUGUCCAUACCUCAAGCACCGGUAGCAUUGUUUAACUGGUGGUAUAUAUGGAGUGACAUUGUGGCGCCAACCUCCAAUACCAGAUAUUCAGGUAAUACAGAUGCAGCAAAAGUAAUUGUCACGGUUAGAGUUGGCUGUAACACAUAUCCAUGAGUCAAGGUAUUUU